AGUGAACGCUGGCGGUAGGCCUAACACAUGCAAGUCGAACGGCAGCACAGUAAGAGCUUGCUCUUACGGGUGGCGAGUGGCGGACGGGUGAGGAAUACAUCGGAAUCUACUUUUUCGUGGGGGAUAACGUAGGGAAACUUACGCUAAUACCGCAUACGGCCUACGGGUGAAAGCAGGGGAUCUUCGGACCUUGCGCGAUUGAAUGAGCCGAUGUCGGAUUAGCUAGUUGGCGGGGUAAAGGCCCACCAAGGCGACGAUCCGUAGCUGGUCUGAGAGGAUGAUCAGCCACAUUGGAACUGAGACACGGUCCAGACUCCGACGGGAGGCAGCAGUGGAGAAUAUUGGACGAUGGGCGCAAGCCUGAUCCAGGCAUACCGCGUGGGUGAAGAAGGCCUUCGGGUUGGAAAGCCCUUUUGUUGUGAAAGAAAAGCAGCAGGUUAAUACCCCGCUGUUCUGACGGUACCCAAAGAAUAAGCACCGGCUAACUUCGUG
RNAcentral lists this ribosomal RNA (492 nucleotides) under uncultured bacterium. RNAcentral describes it as "partial 16S ribosomal RNA". It matches the Rfam family "Bacterial small subunit ribosomal RNA", at positions 29 to 507 of the family's 1533-position model. The record is from RNAcentral.